This 2749-nucleotide long non-coding RNA is filed under the name Malus domestica (apple). RNAcentral describes it as "long non-coding RNA (MDOM_LNC006842)". The record is from RNAcentral. Lineage: Eukaryota; Viridiplantae; Streptophyta; Magnoliopsida; Rosales; Rosaceae.
UAACGGGUUCUUAACGGGUCACCCGAUAGUGACCCAAUAAGUUAUCGUGUUGAUCCGAAACCCGUUAUUUUCGUGUCGUUUUUGUGUCGUGUCAAAAACUGCUAGGUCUACGUGAAACCAACUUCAAAACUUACUAUACAAAUAAAAAAGGUUGAAACUUUUAAUUAUCCAAACCCAAAAAUGAAAAUUUAACUAUAUUAAUUAAAAUAAACUCAUGGGCAGCACGAAAAAAAGAAAGAAACGAUGUUACCCAAAAGCAUACUUAAAUUUUGUACCCAUCAUUUCUACCAUGUGUGUCAUCUCCUAAUAUUUCUUUCCUUCCCUCUCCUCUUACUUGAAUGAUUACGAUUAAGUUACGUUAACAUCUUAUAUUAAUCAAUUUUUAUAGAGAUAAUAAGACAAAAAACAAUAUGUGAGAGGAGGGGACGGAAAUGGAUGAGAAUAGGAAGGGAGAAAAUCAUACUCCAUUCUUACCAUCUACUUGUACUAUCUUUUAUACCAUCUCUCUAAUAAAGAUGAGACACAUAUGUAAUGGUGGGCCUAUCUCUAUUAAAGAGAUGGUACAAACAGAUGGUAAGUAUAACACUACUCUUUGUGUUAAUCAUUUAGGUAUAUUAAUCAAUUUAAUAUAUUUAUAUACAUUUUUGUACAGACAUUCAUUUUAAUAUAUCUCGGAAAAUGUAUUUGCAUAUUUUUCUUAUGUGUCAUUAAUGUUUUUUAAAAUAUUCCCAUUUAGGAUUAAAGUUUUGAUUAAAUUUCAAUUUUUAUUGAAGGAUUAAAGUUGAAAAAUCCCCUUUAUUUCUAUGAGUGUAGGUGUUAAUACUCCGAAAUAAAUAUGACGAACUUCAUACAAGCAAGGAGGGAGGAAGUGGAUGAUAACUUUUUUAUUAAUAACAAUCUCCUUUCCAAAAUGGGAAUAUUUAAAUGAAUCAUAUGAGAAGUAAUUUUCGCACACAUUUUUAUUCCUUUUAACAUUGAGAGGUAGAUUUGAUUUUCGCAAAAGAUAAAUUUGAACUAAAUUAUUAUAAUCCGCCCAUUUUGAAGCUUUGCUCACUCCCUUUACUCCUUUGUGUAAAUAAUAUUGUAUGUAUUAAAAAAGCAUUGGUUUGAGAGCUUUAAUGAAAAGGGUUUAGGCUAAGUUUAUUUUAACCAAAAACCAUGCUAUAACUUUAUUUAAUAAAAAAAUUAAAUAUUAAUGAAAAACCCUUAAAUUUUAAUAAAAAGGACAAAGAAACUUAAAUUUUAAUGAAAAGGACACAAUUUUAAUAUAAUUUUUUUUAAAAAAAGGACCUGACGCGCGUGCCUCUAUCACAGACACUGUUUAUGAAACUGAAACAUUAUUUAUGAAACGGAACACUAUUUAUGAAAUUGAACGCUAUUUAUGAAAUUGAACAGUACUACACUAUUUAUUAGUCAAGUUUCAUAAAUAGUGCCUAGUUCUUGGUCAUGUUUAAUAAAUAGUGUCUAGUUAUUGGGUCCAGUUUCAUAAAUACUGUCUAGUUCUUGGCCAUGUUUCAUAAAUAUUGCCUAGUUAUUGGGUCUAGUUUCAUAAAUAGUGUACAGUAAUUGGUACAGUUUCAUAAAUAGUGUCUUUUUCUUGGUCCAAUUUCAUAAAUAGUGUCUAGUUAUUAGUCCACCUUCAUAAAUAGUGCCUAAUUCUUGGUCGUGUUUCAUAAAUAAUGUUUAGUUCUUGGUCAAGUUUCAUAAAUAGUGUAUAGUCCAAUUUCAUAAAUAGUUUCCACAUAUUGGCUUAGUUUUAAAAAUAGUACCGAUGACACACCUCGACUGAGAUCAAGGCAUGCUGGCCGUCACGUGAGGAUGACGUAGCCAUGUGCACAUUGCGGAAGCAAUGAAGAUAAGAAUGAUAUGAAUAAUUAAAUACCGAAACUACUAGAGUGCACUACUAAACAGGAAGUGUUAAGAGUAAGAUACAAAAGUAAACAUUCCUAAUCAGAGCAUAUAAAGUCUAGGUGCAGUCCAGUAGGACAAAUACUAAUUAUACAGUACCAUAAGAUGUCAUACAAUUAUUUAGAUAGGUCAGAACCGCCGAAGUCCUCACACCCAGCAACUGCAAACUUACCUAAAACCUGGAGGGGCGCAAAACAGAAAACAUGAGUGGGCAAAAAAAAAUGUUUUACAAAACCAUUUCAUUUAUCAACAUAUCUAACCCCUCGCUGUAAAACAUGUAUAACUUUUCCCAUAAUCAAGAUAUAUGCAUAUACAUAAAUAUAUAUGAAAUUAUAUCAAUUCAAAUCAUACUUCACAUAAUCAUAUUCAUAUAUAUGCCAUGCCAAGAUAUAACAGAGUAAGCAAUUUAGAUAAGAAUACUUUCAUAUAAAUGUAACAUGUUAGCCGGAAUCCCUGUGGUAGUCCGUACGACUGAAUUCAUAGCUCAAAAUCAAUCUAGCCGGAGUCACUAUAAUGACCUAUAGGACAACAUACUGCACAAGAGUCGGAACCAAAGGAAAAGGUCUGUACGACAAUAAUGGGUGUAAUAUAAUCAUGCUAAAUUCUACUCACACAUAAUAGCUGGGCGAUAAAUCGCUAGUCACCUACGAGUCGAAACCAUAAAUAAGGUCUGUACAACAAAACUGUGCAUCUAAAUUGGAUCUAAUAUGAGCAUAUGGUGCGGGAGGUGACAUAAUAAACAGGCAUGUGCCAUAUCUCUGGCUAAUUCACAAUCACCCUAAGUGCAGUUUUAUGAGCUCAACAUUAUUCAAUCACAUAUCGCACCAUUGACAAUUCACAU